Molecule: microRNA, 21 nt
Filed under: Plutella xylostella (diamondback moth)
Lineage: Eukaryota; Metazoa; Arthropoda; Insecta; Lepidoptera; Plutellidae
Description: pxy-miR-8499b
Source: miRBase by way of RNAcentral
CAAUUUCAUUGGUCGAUGAUU